GGACUACUCCCUCCGUUCGGAAUUACUUGUCGUAGAAAUGGAUGUAUCUAGACAUUUGUUAGUUCUAGAUACAUCCAUUUCUGCGACAAGUAAUUUAGAACGGAGGGAGUAGUAC
Triticum urartu is the source of this 115-nucleotide non-coding RNA. NCBI's taxonomy places the organism in Eukaryota, Viridiplantae, Streptophyta, Magnoliopsida, Poales, Poaceae. The record is from Rfam.